CACGUAGUUAGCCGUGGCUUUCUGGUUAGGUACCGUCAAGGCUGGAUCAGUUACUAUCCAACUUGUUCUUCCCUAACAACAGAGCUUUACGAUCCGAAGACCUUCAUCGUUCACGCGGCGUUGCUCCGUCAGACUUUCGUCCAUUGCGGAAGAUUCCCCA
Molecule: ribosomal RNA, 160 nt
Filed under: uncultured bacterium 2-6
Lineage: Bacteria
Description: partial 16S ribosomal RNA
Source: RNAcentral